AUAGACGCCUCGUUUCAAUAACGGGGCUUCGAGGCGUCAGGUUUUCCUCGUCGCUUAUUUUGCUCCGUAGAAAGAGUUGAGCUGGGUAGGUAAGCAAGUUUUGAAGCUGCAGGAGGAGAGGCCAAGUUUGUCCUUGCUGGCUGCCUCUCGAUCCCGGGAGGCGAGGCGAUUUUGUACCUUAACUUUCACCGCCCUCGCCUCCCAAGCCCUCAACUGCCUGACAGACACCUCAGCAGUCAAGUGAUGAAAAUCCUGCAGUUUUAAGUAAAAGGCUUCUUUUUCCAGGCUUGCAUGGAUCCAGGAUUUGAAAGAAAAUGCCGUUAGG
Molecule: non-coding RNA, 325 nt
Organism: Podarcis lilfordi (Lilford's wall lizard)
Lineage: Eukaryota; Metazoa; Chordata; Lepidosauria; Squamata; Lacertidae
Source: the annotation of a GenBank genome assembly